CCGCCAAACAAGAAAGGAAAAGAUUUAAUUGAUCUAAUUUCUGGUAUUUUUUUCCCAAUAAAUCGAACAAAAAGAAUUACAUUUCCAAUUGGGCUGAACCUGGUGUUAUUGUAAUUACAGCAAUCUCCGAGCCGUCUUUUCAAAGAAUCAUCCCAGUACGCGGCGAAUGGAGAUCCACGCCCAUCCCUGGCAUCCCAUCCUUGUUACCUGAACCAAAUUCCGAAUUUAACCUUGCCACCCUCCACCACCACGACCAUGUUCAGAAGAAGAAUGGACAUUUUCGAACCACAACCACUAUCUCCCUUCACCUGCUCCAUUGAAACCCUUGAUUUCUCCGUCUUCCCAGAAGAAUCCCUUCUCUCUCUUCCUCUCCCUUUCUUCAACCCUAAACAUGGCCUCUUUGAUCUUCGUGCUUUGCCUUUUGCUGUGUUCCAUACAGUUACAGACCUGAUUCCAAUCCAAAAAAACCCAUCUUCGUCGUGUUACAGGAGGAUCAAGCACAGGACCGGUUCGGGAUUGUGUGUUCGGACCCUGUGCGAUAAGGUUUCGGAUUUCGAGCUAGGGUUUUGACCGGGGUCGUGAAGGCGAGUUUCGAGGAGGGAGACAGGAAGCACAGGUGGACGGCGGAGAUCAGGAGUACGAGGAAGGAUGCUGUUGACCGCAAGUAUAAAUGGACGGCGGAAAUUAACGGAGCAAAGUGUGGUAAGUUGACGCCUGAGAUUAAAGGGAAGCACAGUGACGAUAUAUGGACGGUUGAGAUUAAAGGUCCAAAAUCAGCUGCCGCAGUGCAGGGAAAGGUUCUAAGAAGAGUGUAUGUGCAUCUGCCAGGUGUACGGCAGAGAUUAAACACGCGGGCGAUCAUCGUGCAGCUACGUCUGUUAGACAGGCUUCUUCUGGCAAGAAAGGUGGAGCCAUUGCCAAGGUGUAAAGGCAAAGAGAAAAGUGUUGUCACCUCAAGAUGCAGCACUGAUGGUACAGAUGAACUUCAAAAUUUAUUGGGUACCUCGAUCACAAUCUCUUCAAGCCAUGCGGGAGCUGGCAUUGGCAAAGAACAAGUUGAAGGAGCUCAGGGCAUUGUUUAACAACUUCUUAUAUAUACCGCCGAUGCAUUGCCCAUGAUGCAGAGCAGCGUCAGAUGUUCUCCGAGAGGAUCAUUGUCCUCCUUCUCACUGUUGAUGCCAUAGAGGGAAUUGACCUUAUGGUUCGAGCUGCAAGGGGGUCCAUGGUAAAUGAUCUAGAGGCAAUGCUUGAUGUGACCGAUCCUCAGCUUCCUAGGAAAAUGGGUUCGGUGAGGAGGAGGAGGAAGUUUGAUCUGCCAGCUGAGGAAAGCAUUCAAAAGGAGACUGCUGCGGGCGUGGCAGAGGUUGUCCAGAUGCUCGAUCAAGAAGAUAAGUAUGGGAGUGACAACUUCGAAACCUGUCUGUGAGGAUCUUUUCUCUUUUGUCAUCAUAGAAUCUGCUUUAUUACCGACAUUCUUAGGUCUUCUAACGUCAUGCAUGCAUUGGAGCUAAGCUUGAAAUAGAUAUCCUGAUUAUUUACAUCAUUUACUUCUUGUUCCUUAUAAGUUUUCGGUAGUCCCCUAAUGUGUGAAUCUGUAUCUUCAUUUCAAUGAAGCAUGCCUUUAUGUUU
RNA transcript from Vitis vinifera (wine grape), 1629 nucleotides. RefSeq lists it as uncharacterized. The transcript is spliced from 3 exons. The record is from RefSeq and is a predicted model, not a curated record. Lineage: Eukaryota; Viridiplantae; Streptophyta; Magnoliopsida; Vitales; Vitaceae.